UAUAAAUUGCGGUGAACGAAACAGCAGCAGUAGUCGAAGAUUAUAUCAUCGUUUCGAGUUACAGCGUUUCAGAUCUGUGCUUCCAUGGGUUAAUCUCAACCUCUUUCUUCAAUCUUAUGCAUCCUACUUGUAUUUUUCAAUUAUUAUCUGCAGUGAACUUUUCAUCGGAAAUAGUCGGCAUAUGCUCUCGAUGAUUGAACUUCAAUCUAAUAGUUUCAGCCUUGUCCGAAUUUGUUCAUGUUGGAAACUAGUUUUGUUCUGAGAGAGCUUUCUUCUUCUCGGCGCUUUUUUAAAAAUGUUUUUUAUAUCAACACUUUCGAUCAGUCACAGCUCCGUCUAAUGUGGUGAAAUACUUUUCAAUCAUUAUCUACCAUUUCAUGUUCUUUCUAUUGUUUUACCAAGUGAAUAUUGUUCAAAUUACUUUAUUUUCCUUUAUUAACUUUCAUCAUCCAGACAAAUUUCAUUAUCCUCUCAAUUUAAACUCAGAUGUUUUAUAGUAGGCCACAACAAAUUAUCUUAUUUAUUUAAUAAUUAAAUAAAUGUUUAUUAUACAAUCCCUACUAAUAUCAUAAUCUCUUCUCACCCUACCUUAAGUUGGAGAAAAUUUUGAUUUUUUUUUUGAAUUAUAACAGAGGGUAAAGUUUUAACAAUAAAUAUGAUUAGUGUGAUUUAAACCUAAAUCCUGCUAUCACAUGAGGUUCAGAUAUGUAAAUUUACGAAGUCUAUAAUUAGAAGAAUUAAUAGAAUUCUAGGUUUGCGUGUCCCUAUAUGGCUGUUGAUGAGUAUACUGUUAGGUUAUUGAAAACUGAGAGAUGUAAAAGUUAAAAAGGGGAGUGGUAUAAGAAGUCGAUGGAGAAUAAGAUAAUGGAAGGCAAGUGUGGCUAGUAAGUUGAAAGAAAUGUUGCACAAAUGCAGUUCCCUCAAGAGUUGGCCUAUAGGCAACAAAGUACUGGGUGAGGGUGAUCUGGUAUCAGGUUUGCCAUGGUUUGUAAAUCCAUAAAGAGCAUAUCAAUAUAUUGUUUUUGGGCUCAGCCGAAGGCCCCAAAAUAGAUAGUUUAUUAAAAAUUAACAGGAAGGUCCAUAAAGCAAUGAAUAAAGUAGAUAUGGUGGUGAACCAGAAAACACAUCCUUCUUACAGUGUUUACAGUGUAUAAGGUUUACAAUGAAUUGGUGAAUGGUGAGAGUGAAACCUCUGCUAUUAUGAUCAAGGAAAUUGAGCAUUUAUUAGAGGAAGAAGCCUAAUAAGCCUGGCCAAGACUUCCUCCAUCCUCUCAUCUCAUGUGCAUAUUCUGGAUAUGGAUAUGGCUUACCUACUCCUCUAAAGUACCCAAUCAUACUUUGAAUUGUCUCGUAAGGUUGUUUUAAUGGUUAUACAUAUAUCACAUUUAUACUUAUCUCACGGAUUAAUUGAAUAUUGAAAAUAGUCUCAC
Molecule: long non-coding RNA, 1430 nt
Filed under: Gossypium raimondii (Peruvian cotton)
Lineage: Eukaryota; Viridiplantae; Streptophyta; Magnoliopsida; Malvales; Malvaceae
Description: long non-coding RNA (GRAI_LNC005113)
Source: RNAcentral